Molecule: ribosomal RNA, 515 nt
Filed under: uncultured bacterium
Lineage: Bacteria
Description: partial 16S ribosomal RNA
Rfam family: Bacterial small subunit ribosomal RNA
Source: RNAcentral
GAUGAACGCUGGCGGCGUGCCUAAUACAUGCAAGUCGAGCGAAUGGAUUAAGAGCUUGCUCUUAUGAAGUUAGCGGCGGACGGGUGAGUAACACGUGGGUAACCUGCCCAUAAGACUAGGAUAACUCCGGGAAACCGGGGCUAAUACCGGAUAACAUUUUGAACCGCAUGGUUCGAAAGUGAAAGGCGGCUUCGGCUGUCACUUAUGGAUGGACCCGCGUCGCAUUAGCUAGUUGGUGAGGUAACGGCUCCACAAGGCAACGAUGCGUAGCCGACCUGGGAGGGUGAUCGGCCACACUGGGACUGAGACACGGCCCAGACUCCUACGGGAGGCAGCAGUAGGGAAUCUUCCGCAAUGGACGAAAGUCUGACGGAGCAACGCCGCGUGAGUGAUGAAGGCUUUCGGGUCGUAAAACUCUGUUGUUAGGGAGGAACAAGUGCUAGUUGAAUAAGCUGGCACCUUGACGGUACCUAACCAGAAAGCCACGGCUAACUACGUGCCAGCCGCCGCCGUAA